Molecule: ribosomal RNA, 301 nt
Filed under: uncultured bacterium
Lineage: Bacteria
Description: partial 16S ribosomal RNA
Rfam family: Bacterial small subunit ribosomal RNA
Source: RNAcentral
CAGCCGCCGCGGUAAUACGAAGGGGGCUAGCGUUGUUCGGAUUUACUGGGCGUAAAGGGCGCGUAGGCGGGCGAAUAAGUCAGGGGUGAAAUCCCAAGGCUCAACCUUGGAGCUGCCUUUGAUACUGUUUGUCUUGAGUUCGAGAGAGGUAAGUGGAACUGCGAGUGUAGAGGUGAAAUUCGUAGAUAUUCGCAAGAACACCAGUGGCGAAGGCGGCUUACUGGCUCGAAACUGACGCUGAGGCGCGAAAGCGUGGGGAGCAAACAGGAUUAGAUACCCGUGUAGUCCCUGUCUCUUAUAA